Molecule: long non-coding RNA, 473 nt
Filed under: Elaeis guineensis (African oil palm)
Lineage: Eukaryota; Viridiplantae; Streptophyta; Magnoliopsida; Arecales; Arecaceae
Description: long non-coding RNA (EGUI_LNC076739)
Source: RNAcentral
GAGGCGUCAAAUUCUAACAUGGACCUUUCAGUCGUUUAUCGGAGGUUUUGAUGUGGGUUUUGCUGUAAUCAUUAAUCAAUCAUUUGAUUUCUCUUGCUUGGAUCGCUUUGAUUCCCUUUUCUUGUUGGUUCUUGCUUAUUUUUGGGUUUUGCAUCUGAUUCUUGGAUUUACUGGCUGUUUCUUUGAGGUUGGGCGAAGGUUUUCAUCGCUCCCCUGCUCCCCUGUCUUUAUGAAGCUUGUGCAUCUCGGUCUUAUUGUGAUUCUCGAUUUAUGGCUGCUGUCUAUAUCCUGAUUUGGAAAGUUGGUAUUUCUUAUGAUUUUGAUCCCACAUUAUUGGUUGUUUUUGCUUCUCAGUCGUUGUUGAAGAUACCAAAAGGUAGAUCACACCAGUGGGUUUUUGGACUAAAGAAAGCACUCGUUCCCAUUUAGAAAGAAUUACUUCUUUGUUUUGGAUCUCCUGUACGGUGUGUUUG